This 253-nucleotide ribosomal RNA is filed under the name uncultured bacterium. RNAcentral's name for it is "partial 16S ribosomal RNA". It matches the Rfam family "Bacterial small subunit ribosomal RNA", at positions 524 to 776 of the family's 1533-position model. The record is from RNAcentral.
UACGUAGGCAGCAAGCGUUGUUCGGAGUUACUGGGCGUAAAGAGUGCGUAGGCGGUGCUCUAAGUUUGGUGUGAAAUCUCCCGGCUUAACUGGGAGGGUGCGCCGAAAACUGGAGUGCUUGAGUAUGGGAGAGGCAAGCGGAAUUCCUGGUGUAGCGGUGAAAUGCGUAGAUAUCAGGAGGAACACCGGUGGCGAAGGCGGAUCUCUGGGCCAUUACUGACGCUGAGGAGCGAAAGCGUGGGGAGCGAACAGG